GCAAAGAACCACGAUCAACAAGUCUGGAUAUUUGGGGAAAUGCACUUGUUCACAUGUUUUUUUCUUUAUUUAACCAAAUAAAAGUCUCAUCUAAAUUAAAAUCUCCUUUUCAAUAGAGAACUCAACUCACUUUCUGGCCAAGAAUGAGAUGAAUUGAUACCACUCUCAGUAGUGACAGUGCUAUCGAUCGUCUCAUCUAAGUCUUGGCAAAAAAACUACACCCUCCAAAAUGUUUAACUUUCCUUUAACUCAUUUUAAAUUCAAGUUUGGUAUUGAUUAUAAUCUGUGUCAUCCAACUUUGUGUCACUUCAGACCCUGCAAUUCCCUCUCAGUCCAGCAGUCGUCCUCAGUGCGUUGUGCCCGUCCCCACCUUCACACCUGCCUCUGACCACCUCAUUAUCUCCCUACCUGCCCUUUCAGUUCAGUUCCUUGUCAGACUGUCUAUUGCCUUCCUGACUCUACCCCUGUAUUCUUGUUGUUCGUCCGGUCUUGAGCCUAUAACUCUCUCACCCUCACAACAUCGUUUGCUUCUGCUGGCUGCCUUCCUCCAAACCCUACUUUUAUUACUGGUCAAGUAAACAUCAUUUUAUCCCACCUCCCUGUGAGUUGGGCUCCUGAGUUCAAGCCUCAUAUGUCAGGGAUGAAAUCACAUGGCAGGGUGACAUCAUGCCCGACGUAUCCAGUCACUGCAGACGGGACUUUGACAUCUUGUGAGUCAAGAACUGAUAAAAAA
This is a long non-coding RNA of Acanthopagrus latus (yellowfin seabream), 733 nucleotides long. RefSeq lists it as uncharacterized. The record is from RefSeq and is a predicted model, not a curated record. NCBI's taxonomy places the organism in Eukaryota, Metazoa, Chordata, Actinopteri, Spariformes, Sparidae. The transcript has 2 exons.